RNAcentral lists this ribosomal RNA (1723 nucleotides) under Prymnesium polylepis. Its description in RNAcentral is "partial Eukaryotic large subunit ribosomal RNA". Lineage: Eukaryota; Haptophyta; Prymnesiales; Prymnesiaceae. The record is from RNAcentral.
GCGAGCUGCCUGCUUGAAACACUCUGAUUUUUUCAAAGUAAACGAUCCGACUCCCGACCCCGCUCAGUUAAGAGUAGGACCAGUCUCCGGAAGGAAGGACGCCCCCGCCAGUGCAUACCCAUCGGCAGACCGGCGGGCACGCCCCGAAAUCCGACUACGAGCGUUUUAACUGCAACAACUUUAAUAUACGCUAUUGGAGCUGGAAUUACCGCGGCUGCUGGCACCAGACUUGCCCUCCAAUUGAUCCUCGUGAAGAGAUGUAAAUUGUACUCAUUCCAAUUACAAGACUAAAAUAGCCCUGUAUUGUUAUUUCUUGUCACUACCUCCCUGUGUCAGGAUUCGGGCAAUUUACGCGCCUGCUGCCUUCCUUGGAUGUGGUAGCCAUUUCUCAGGCUCCCUCUCCGGAAUCGAACCCUAAUUCUCCGUUACCCGUAAACGCCAUGGUAGGCCUCGAUCCUACCAUCGAAAGCUGAUAGGGCAGAAAUUUGAAUGAACCAUCGCCGGCACAAGGCCAUGCGAUUCGAGCAGUUAUUGUGACUCAGCACGCAACCGGCAAGCCGGGUUGGUUUCUUAUCUAAUAAAUACAUCCCUUCCAAAGUCGGGACUUCCUGCAUGUAUUAGCUCUAGAAUUACUACGGGUAUCCAAGUAGUAAGGUACCAUCAAAUAAACCAUAACUGAUUUAAUGAGCCAUUCGCAGUUUCACAGUACAAGUCGCUUAUACUUAGACAUGCAUGGCUUAAUCUUUGAGACAAGCAUAUGACUACUGGCAGGAUCAACCAGGUAGCCCGCGACGAGGAUGCACCCGCAGCGACUGCACGACGCACCAUGAAACAUGGAACGCCCCACAGCCGCACACAAGCCACACCCACGCCCGGCAUUCGACACCAGGCCGACGCAACCACAAACGGACUAGCCGUUCGAGCCGCGACGACCGAGCGAUUCUCGCCGGAGGUGCACAGUACGCACAGGGCGGCCAAGCGACCGCAAUCAAGCAGCACGCGAGAACAAACCCCGCACGUCUAGAAUCACCAACACGCGCCGCACACACGCUCGCCCCGCGAAAGGACAAGCGACACGCACGACGCGCUGGCUGCCAACUCGGCGACGCCGUCACACCCGCACAGAAUGCAGGCGAAAAGCCACGCCGAGCGGCACAUCGAGCGACCACUCAAAGAGAGAUCACCAAUGCUCAGCCUCGGAAGCGCAUCGCAUCCGCCGCCACGACGCCUCAACACAAAUCGAACCCUCAAAAGAGAAGGCUCGACCAUCGAGGGUCAUGAAACGAACGACAGAGGAGGUGCCACCGAAAACCGAAAGAGCGGCCGCGCCGUCGAGCGACACUCCACGCCUCCAAAAGAAGCCGGAGGCCGACACAACGCCACGCGCCGCAGGAAAGUGCUGCGCACUCUUCGAAAGGUGCCCAAAGGGAAACCAUUCCGUCCUCAACCUGACUCGCGCUACACCGAGAGACCCGAAAGCCCCAAGGCCGCGCUCGCCACGUCCGGCGCAAUCAAGCGCCCACAGCCGCACGAGAGGUCGCCGCUUCCUUGGCCGAUGGCACCGAGGCCACCCGCCAGCUGCGCCCGCACAAGCUGCACUGUCUCUCGGCAGGCUGCCGACCGCGAUCGGAUCGCGGUGGCCAAGCCGCCUUCAACACGGAGAGAAGCACCAGCCGACCAGCUAGGCCGACUGCAACCGCUUCCUCACCCGCCAGCUGCGCCC